GAUGAACGCUAGCGGGAGGCUUAAUACAUGCAAGUCGAGGGGUAACAGGGGCUUCGGCCCGCUGACGACCGGCGCACGGGUGAGUAACGCGUACGCAACUUACCUCCAAGCGAGGGAUAGCCCUGGGAAACUGGGAUUAAUACCUCAUGUGAUUAUGAUGCCGCAUGGUGUUAUAAUUAAAGUUCAGGCGCUUGGAGAUGGGCGUGCGUCCUAUUAGCUAGUUGGUGAGGUAACGGCUCACCAAGGCGACGAUAGGUAGGGGGCGUGAGAGCGUGGCCCCCCACACGGGUACGUGAGACACGGACCCGGACCUCCUACGGGAGGGCAGCAGUAAGGAAGUAUUGGACGAAUGGGCGGCAAGCCUGAUCCAGCCAUCCCGCCGUGCAGGAUGACAGCCCUACCGGGUUGGUAAACUAGCUUUUGUUUAGGGAAGGAAACCCCUCCGAUUUAUUCGGGGGCGUGACGGUACCUUUUCGAAUAAAGCACCGGCGUAACUACCGUGCCACGCAGCCCGCGGUAAAGUCAGUGACU
Molecule: ribosomal RNA, 531 nt
Filed under: uncultured bacterium
Lineage: Bacteria
Description: bacterial SSU rRNA
Rfam family: Bacterial small subunit ribosomal RNA
Source: RNAcentral